Molecule: ribosomal RNA, 185 nt
Filed under: Klebsiella pneumoniae
Lineage: Bacteria; Pseudomonadati; Pseudomonadota; Gammaproteobacteria; Enterobacterales; Enterobacteriaceae
Description: partial 23S ribosomal RNA
Rfam family: Bacterial large subunit ribosomal RNA
Source: RNAcentral
CGACUAAGCGUACACGGUGGAUGCCCUGGCAGUCAGAGGCGAUGAAGGACGUGCUAAUCUGCGAAAAGCGUCGGUAAGGUGAUAUGAACCGUUAUAACCGGCGAUGUCCGAAUGGGGAAACCCAGUGCAAUUCGUUGCACUAUCGUUAACUGAAUACGAAGGAGGACGUGGCUAACCGGGGAAAG